CCUACGGGUGGCUGCAGUGGGGAAUAUUGGACAAUGGGCGAAAGCCUGAUCCAGCCAUGCCGCGUGUGUGAAGAAGGCCUUCGGGUUGUAAAGCACUUUCAGUGGGGAAGAAAGCCUUGGGGCUAAUACCCUCGAGGAAGGACAUCACCCACAGAAGAAGCACCGGCUAACUCCGUGCCAGCAGCCGCGGUAAUACGGAGGGUGCGAGCGUUAAUCGGAAUUACUGGGCGUAAGGCGCGCGUAGGCGGUCUGAUAAGCCGGUUGUGAAAGCCCCGGGCUCAACCUGGGAACGGCAUCCGGAACUGUCAGGCUAGAGUGCAGGAGAGGAAGGUAGAAUUCCCGGUGUAGCGGUGAAAUGCGUAGAGAUCGGGAGGAAUACCAGUGGCGAAGGCGGCCUUCUGGACUGACACUGACGCUGAGGUGCGAAAGCGUGGGUAGCAAACAGGAUUAGAUACCCCAGUAGUC
RNAcentral lists this ribosomal RNA (465 nucleotides) under Vreelandella stevensii. RNAcentral describes it as "partial 16S ribosomal RNA". It matches the Rfam family "Bacterial small subunit ribosomal RNA", at positions 338 to 795 of the family's 1533-position model. The record is from RNAcentral. Lineage: Bacteria; Pseudomonadati; Pseudomonadota; Gammaproteobacteria; Oceanospirillales; Halomonadaceae.